GCAGACACAUUCCAGCCAAUCAGCAGCAGACCCUCCCUCCCAGACCCUCCCACUUCUGGACAGCAUCCAUUUUACAUUCAUUGUCAAGUUGCAUUCUUAGUGAGCUGUCCAGGAGGUGGGAGGGUCUGGGAGGGAGGGUCUGCUGCUGAUUGGCUGGAAUGUGUCUG
Molecule: non-coding RNA, 167 nt
Organism: Pelobates cultripes (western spadefoot toad)
Lineage: Eukaryota; Metazoa; Chordata; Amphibia; Anura; Pelobatidae
Source: the annotation of a GenBank genome assembly